UGGGGAAUUUUGGACAAUGGGCGAAAGCCUGAUCCAGCAAUGCCGCGUGUGUGAAGAAGGCCUUCGGGUUGUAAAGCACUUUUGUCCGGAAAGAAAUCCUUGGCUCUAAUACAGUCGGGGGAUGACGGUACCGGAAGAAUAAGCACCGGCUAACUACGUGCCAGCAGCCGCGGUAAUACGUAGGGUGCAAGCGUUAAUCGGAAUUACUGGGCGUAAAGCGUGCGCAGGCGGUUUGCUAAGACAGAUGUGAAAUCCCCGGGCUCAACCUGGGAACUGCAUUGGUGACUGGCAGGCUAGAGUAUGGCAGAGGGGGGUAGAAUUCCACGUGUAGCAGUGAAAUGCGUAGAGAUGUGGAGGAAUACCGAUGGCGAAGGCAGCCCCCUGGGCCAAUACUGACGCUCAUGCACGAAAGCGUGGGGAGCAAAACAGGAUUAGAUACCCUGGUAGUCCACGCCCUAAACGAUGUCAACUAGUUGUUGGGGAUUCAUUUCCUUAGUAACGUAGCUAACGCGUGAAGUUGACCGCCUGGGGAGUACGGUCGCAAGAUUAAAACUCAAAUGAAUUGACGGUGUCAUA
This 576-nucleotide ribosomal RNA is filed under the name uncultured bacterium. Its description in RNAcentral is "partial 16S ribosomal RNA". It matches the Rfam family "Bacterial small subunit ribosomal RNA", at positions 355 to 923 of the family's 1533-position model. The record is from RNAcentral.